RNAcentral lists this ribosomal RNA (490 nucleotides) under uncultured bacterium. RNAcentral describes it as "bacterial SSU rRNA". It matches the Rfam family "Bacterial small subunit ribosomal RNA", at positions 28 to 509 of the family's 1533-position model. The record is from RNAcentral.
GAUGAACGCUAGCGGCAGGCUUAAUACAUGCAAGUCGAGGGGCAGCAUGACUGUAGCAAUACAGUUGAUGGCGACCGGCAAACGGGUGCGGAACACGUACAGAACCUUCCUUCGAGCGGGGAAUAGCCCAGAGAAAUUUGGAUUAAUACCCCAUAGUACAUUGGAGUGGCAUCACUUUAAUGUUAAAGAUUUAUCACUUGAAGAUGGCUGUGCGGCUGAUUAGGUAGUUGGCGGGGUAACGGCCCACCAAGCCUGCGAUCAGUAACUGGUGUGAGAGCACGACCAGUCACACGGGCACUGAGACACGGGCCCGACUCCUACGGGAGGCAGCAGUAAGGAAUAUUGGUCAAUGGACGAAAGUCUGAACCAGCCAUGCCGCGUGGAGGAUGAAGGUCCUCUGGAUUGUAAACUUCUUUUAUAUGGGACGAAAAAAGGCUUUUCUAAGUCGUCUGACGGUACCAUAUGAAUAAGCACCGGCUAACUCCGUGCC